AGAUGUGGGGGUCAUCUGGCUGUGAUAUCUGUCACCCCAUUGAUCAUCAAGGUCUAGUUAUGAAGAUUUAGCUAGCAAGGUGGGUGUCCUUUUCUUCACUCACAGCCCCAUGUGCAUCCCUUCUGAUGCUGCAUGGUAAGUAAAAGAGGAUAACCUUCCUGGGAAAGGAGGGAUUGUCUUCUGUUAAGGGUAUAUGAGUACAUGCUUUCCCUGCUAGAACCUCCAAACCAGGUCUGAAGGUACAUGUGCAGUAGAAUGUAGAUGAAUUAAACUUCCCUGACUAAAGACAUAUCGAACUGUGCGGUGAAGCAUGUGGCAGUUUGUAUUUCUU
This 331-nucleotide small nuclear RNA is filed under the name Peromyscus maniculatus bairdii (prairie deer mouse). RNAcentral's name for it is "7SK RNA (ENSPEMG00000002656.2)". It matches the Rfam family "7SK RNA". Rfam says of the family: 7SK was discovered as an abundant small nuclear RNA in the mid-70s but a possible function has only recently been suggested. Lineage: Eukaryota; Metazoa; Chordata; Mammalia; Rodentia; Cricetidae. The record is from Rfam by way of RNAcentral.